AGAUUGAACGCUGGCGGCAUGCCUUACACAUGCAAGUCGAACGGCAGCACGGGAGCAAUCCUGGUGGCGAGUGGCGAACGGGUGAGUAAUAUAUCGGAACGUGCCCAGUCGUGGGGGAUAACGCAGCGAAAGCUGUGCUAAUACCGCAUACGAUCUCUGGAUGAAAGCGGGGACUCGCAAGGGCCUCGCGCGAUUGGAGCGGCCGAUAUCAGAUUAGCUAGGUUGGUGGGUAAAGGCCCACGAAGGCGACGAUCUGUAGCUGGUCUGAGACGGACGACCAGCCACACUGGAACCUGACGACACGGUCCAGACCUCCGUACGGGAGCAGCAGGUGGGGUAAUUUUGGAACAAGUGGGACG
RNAcentral lists this ribosomal RNA (359 nucleotides) under uncultured soil bacterium. RNAcentral describes it as "bacterial SSU rRNA". It matches the Rfam family "Bacterial small subunit ribosomal RNA", at positions 26 to 382 of the family's 1533-position model. The record is from RNAcentral.